CACGUAGUUAGCCGUGGCUUUCUGGUUAGGUACCGUCAAGGUACCGCCCUAUUCGAACGGUACUUGUUCUUCCCUAACAACAGAGUUUUACGAUCCGAAAACCUUCAUCACUCACGCGGCGUUGCUCCGUCAGACUUUCGUCCAUUGCGGAAGAUUCCCUACUGCUGCCUCCCGUAGGAGUCUGGGCCGUGUCUCAGUCCCAGUGUGGCCGAUCACCCUCUCAGGUCGGCUACGCAUCGUCGCCUUGGUGAGCCGUUACCUCACCAACUAGCUAAUGCGCCGCGGGUCCAUCUGUAAGUGGUAGCUAAAAGCCACCUUUUAUGAUUGAACCAUGCGGUUCAAUCAAGCAUCCGGUAUUAGCCCCGGUUUCCCGGAGUUAUCCCAGUCUUACAGGCAGGUUACCCACGUGUUACUCACCCGUCCGCCGCUGACCUAAGGGAGCAAGCUCCCAUCGGUCCGCUCGACUUGCAUGUAUUAGGCACGCCGCCAGCGUUCGUCCUGAGCCAGGAUCAAACUCU
RNAcentral lists this ribosomal RNA (518 nucleotides) under uncultured Bacillus sp. Its description in RNAcentral is "partial 16S ribosomal RNA". Lineage: Bacteria; Bacillati; Bacillota; Bacilli; Caryophanales; Bacillaceae. The record is from RNAcentral.